CCCAGGGCCUUGUGCUUGGCACUACCACUGAGCUAAAUCCCCAACCCCUACUGUGCUGUGUGAAGGCAUUUCUGUUCUGUCGGUUUCUGAAAGCUGGUGUGGCCCCCUGGAUGAAGCCUCUGACCUGGCAGGCCUAAGAAUGGUGCUCAGGCCGGAUUCCAAGAAAGAGGAAGAAGCAGAUGGAGAAGAAAAAGUCUCCAGAACAAAAGCAUUCUACAUCACCGACUAGCGAAACAGUUGCUAAAUAAGUGUGUUCCAGCCUUGUCUUCGGAUCAUUUUCUGGAAAGAGCUGCAUUUGAUGUUCCAAGCACAUCAGUUUUAACUUGUAGGAGGAACAGAGACCCAGCAGAUAUUAAACAGAUGCUUCUAGAAAUAAGAGAAGCAACCAGCAAUAGAAGCAACCUCCAGAGCUCUCAGGCUGCGGCAGUAGCCAGACACGGCGCUCCAUGUGUGACAUGCUUAGUGAGCCACUUGGUUCUUGACGCAGUCCUGUCAGGUCCGCCGGCACUCAACGAUAGCUCACUUUGUGGCUGAGGAAAGAGCGACCCGUUGCCCGAGCAUCCCAUUCAAAAAAAAUCCACAUCGAGGAAGAGAACUCUGCUGCGGCUGUGUAUUUUACUGAACGAAUUUCUGCUGCCAGUUGGCAGGUACAGAGGUCCCAGCCAAGCCUUUGUGCCCAUCCCCCAUCUGUGCCCCUGGGACCGGCUCCGAGCUUCCUUCAUCAGCCGACCCCUCGCAGCUCUCCAGAGGUUGCGACAUCCCAAGCCUUGUGAAGUUUGGGCUAAUAGAGGCCGCUGCCAGAGCCAUGAAUGAAAUGGAACGUGGUCAAUGACUGACAUCCAUUAGAGUCCUUCGACAAACCCUGGGCUGCGUUUUGAAAGGCCCCUGGAAGAGAAAGGACUGUGUGCUCUUUGAAUGUGGGCCCGCUGAACCGCUGCCAAGGGCGGACCGCUCCAGCUCCAUUCAAAGGGCUGAGAGAAUAAAUGAGAAUAACAUCCUUGGGGACCCGCAGGAUCAGCUUACUCCGAAAAUGCUCAGCUUCACAAAGGGUCAGAGUCACAAGGUAAAUGAAAAUGGCCAGGAGGGGACUUUGAUGGCCGAAACACUGUAACAGUAGAGGACUUGAAAGAAAACUUUAUUUAAAAAAAAAAAAAAAUUAAAAAGAAGCAGUUAAAAGGGGAGGGGGUAGUGGGGGGAACCUCGGAAGGGCAAAGCCUGUUGAUAACAACAACAAAAGGUUUCUGUAGAGAUACUGGUGAGUGUUCAUUGGUUACACACACAGUCUGUAAAUAGAUGCAUAUGCUUAUGAAAAUGUGUAUCUACAUCUGCAAAUACCACACAUCACCUUUUAUUUUACUCACUAUUAAUAAA
This is a long non-coding RNA of Onychomys torridus (southern grasshopper mouse), 1371 nucleotides long. RefSeq lists it as uncharacterized. The transcript is spliced from 7 exons. Lineage: Eukaryota; Metazoa; Chordata; Mammalia; Rodentia; Cricetidae. The record is from RefSeq and is a predicted model, not a curated record.